AACACUGGUUAUAAGGAUGCUCAAGUACAGGUGCAGAAAAUAAAUCCUCUUUUGCAACCCAUAACUCAUUGUUUAGUAUGAAUUUUGGUACAUACAAGAAGAAACAUG
Molecule: small nucleolar RNA, 108 nt
Organism: Phyllostomus discolor (pale spear-nosed bat)
Lineage: Eukaryota; Metazoa; Chordata; Mammalia; Chiroptera; Phyllostomidae
Product: small nucleolar RNA SNORA40
Exons: 1
Source: RefSeq, a predicted model, not a curated record